Molecule: small nuclear RNA, 107 nt
Organism: Octodon degus (degu)
Lineage: Eukaryota; Metazoa; Chordata; Mammalia; Rodentia; Octodontidae
Source: Ensembl
AUGCUCACUUUGGCAGCUAAUAUACUAAAAUUGAAAUGAUAUGGAGAAGAUUAGCAUGACCCAUGUGCAAGGAUGACUUUCAAAUUCAUGAAGUGUUCCACAUUUUU